This is a long non-coding RNA of Hemibagrus wyckioides, 431 nucleotides long. RefSeq lists it as uncharacterized. NCBI's taxonomy places the organism in Eukaryota, Metazoa, Chordata, Actinopteri, Siluriformes, Bagridae. The record is from RefSeq and is a predicted model, not a curated record. The transcript is spliced from 5 exons.
AACAUUUACUGUGUGAGUUUUAAUGAUUUAUUGCUAAUGUGUCUUUCACACAUUAGCAAUAUGAGUGAGGAGAGCCUUAGCCAGGAGGAGAUGGAGGUGCUCUUUAAUUGGGACCAUCUUACAGAGAGAGGGGUAACUGAUAUGUGAUCCAUGAGGCGUUUGCUAUUCAUCUUACCUGCAUCGACAAUCAGAACUUCUUGUUUGUUAUGGGGAAGAAGAUUGUGAUGCGUCUGUCAGCAGUUAACAACCAGGAUGCAGGUCGUGUACAGCUGGCCUACGAGGCUCUGAUUCAUUUCCUGAAGACUCCUUCUUAUCAGGACUCGAUUGCAGCAGAGCUCUCCAGGUCCUAUGUCCACCACUACAACUUCGUGGACAUCUUUUUCGAGCUGCUUCUAUUUGGCUACUUCACAAACAGCUCAAUACCUGAGACA